RNAcentral lists this ribosomal RNA (1234 nucleotides) under Micrococcus sp. RNAcentral's name for it is "bacterial SSU rRNA". It matches the Rfam family "Bacterial small subunit ribosomal RNA", at positions 124 to 1370 of the family's 1533-position model. Lineage: Bacteria; Bacillati; Actinomycetota; Actinomycetes; Micrococcales; Micrococcaceae. The record is from RNAcentral.
GGCUGCCUUAACUCUGGGAUAAGCCUGGGAAACUGGGUCUAAUACCGGAUAGGAGCGCCUACCGCAUGGUGGGUGUUGGAAAGAUUUAUCGGUUUUGGAUGGACUCGCGGCCUAUCAGCUUGUUGGUGAGGUAAUGGCUCACCAAGGCGACGACGGGUAGCCGGCCUGAGAGGGUGACCGGCCACACUGGGACUGAGACACGGCCCAGACUCCUACGGGAGGCAGCAGUGGGGAAUAUUGCACAAUGGGCGCAAGCCUGAUGCAGCGACGCCGCGUGAGGGAUGACGGCCUUCGGGUUGUAAACCUCUUUCAGUAGGGAAGAAGCGAAAGUGACGGUACCUGCAGAAGAAGCACCGGCUAACUACGUGCCAGCAGCCGCGGUAAUACGUAGGGUGCGAGCGUUAUCCGGAAUUAUUGGGCGUAAAGAGCUCGUAGGCGGUUUGUCGCGUCUGUCGUGAAAGUCCGGGGCUUAACCCCGGAUCUGCGGUGGGUACGGGCAGACUAGAGUGCAGUAGGGGAGACUGGAAUUCCUGGUGUAGCGGUGGAAUGCGCAGAUAUCAGGAGGAACACCGAUGGCGAAGGCAGGUCUCUGGGCUGUAACUGACGCUGAGGAGCGAAAGCAUGGGGAGCGAACAGGAUUAGAUACCCUGGUAGUCCAUGCCGUAAACGUUGGGCACUAGGUGUGGGGACCAUUCCACGGUUUCCGCGCCGCAGCUAACGCAUUAAGUGCCCCGCCUGGGGAGUACGGCCGCAAGGCUAAAACUCAAAGGAAUUGACGGGGGCCCGCACAAGCGGCGGAGCAUGCGGAUUAAUUCGAUGCAACGCGAAGAACCUUACCAAGGCUUGACAUGUUCUCGAUCGCCGUAGAGAUACGGUUUCCCCUUUGGGGCGGGUUCACAGGUGGUGCAUGGUUGUCGUCAGCUCGUGUCGUGAGAUGUUGGGUUAAGUCCCGCAACGAGCGCAACCCUCGUUCCAUGUUGCCAGCACGUAAUGGUGGGGACUCAUGGGAGACUGCCGGGGUCAACUCGGAGGAAGGUGAGGACGACGUCNAAUCAUCAUGCCCCUUAUGUCUUGGGCUUCACGCAUGCUACAAUGGCCGGUACAAUGGGUUGCGAUACUGUGAGGUGGAGCUAAUCCCAAAAAGCCGGUCUCAGUUCGGAUUGGGGUCUGCAACUCGACCCCAUGAAGUCGGAGUCGCUAGUAAUCGCAGAUCAGCAACGGAGCGGUGAACAAG